This 1434-nucleotide ribosomal RNA is filed under the name uncultured organism. RNAcentral's name for it is "16S ribosomal RNA". It matches the Rfam family "Bacterial small subunit ribosomal RNA". The record is from RNAcentral.
GAUGAACGCUAGCUACAGGCUUAACACAUGCAAGUCGAGGGGCAGCAUUUUAGUUUGCUUGCAAACUAAAGAUGGCGACCGGCGCACGGGUGAGUAACACGUAUCCAACCUGCCGAUAACUCGGGGAUAGCCUUUCGAAAGAAAGGUUAAUAUCCGAUAGUAUAUUAAAACCGCAUGGUUUUACUAUUAAAGAAUUUCGGUUAUCGAUGGGGAUGCGUUCCAUUAGUUUGUUGGCGGGGUAACGGCCCACCAAGACAACGAUGGAUAGGGGUUCUGAGAGGAAGGUCCCCCACAUUGGAACUGAGACACGGUCCAAACUCCUACGGGAGGCAGCAGUGAGGAAUAUUGGUCAAUGGACGAGAGUCUGAACCAGCCAAGUAGCGUGAAGGAUGACUGCCCUAUGGGUUGUAAACUUCUUUUAUAUGGGAAUAAAGUAUUCCACGUGUGGAAUUUUGUAUGUACCAUAUGAAUAAGGAUCGGCUAACUCCGUGCCAGCAGCCGCGGUAAUACGGAGGAUCCGAGCGUUAUCCGGAUUUAUUGGGUUUAAAGGGAGCGUAGGUGGAUUGUUAAGUCAGUUGUGAAAGUUUGCGGCUCAACCGUAAAAUUGCAGUUGAAACUGGCAGUCUUGAGUACAGUAGAGGUGGGCGGAAUUCGUGGUGUAGCGGUGAAAUGCUUAGAUAUCACGAAGAACUCCGAUUGCGAAGGCAGCUCACUAGACUGCAACUGACACUGAUGCUCGAAAGUGUGGGUAUCAAACAGGAUUAGAUACCCUGGUAGUCCACACAGUAAACGAUGAAUACUCGCUGUUUGCGAUAUACAGUAAGGCGGCCAAGCGAAAGCAUUAAGUAUUCCACCUGGGGAGUACGCCGGCAACGGUGAAACUCAAAGGAAUUGACGGGGGCCCGCACAAGCGGAGGAACAUGUGGUUUAAUUCGAUGAUACGCGAGGAACCUUACCCGGGCUUAAAUUGCAUUUGAAUAAUCUGGAAACAGGUUAGCCGCAAGGCAAAUGUGAAGGUGCUGCAUGGUUGUCGUCAGCUCGUGCCGUGAGGUGUCGGCUUAAGUGCCAUAACGAGCGCAACCCUUAUCUUUAGUUACUAACAGGUGAUGCUGAGGACUCUAGAGAGACUGCCGUCGUAAGAUGUGAGGAAGGUGGGGAUGACGUCAAAUCAGCACGGCCCUUACGUCCGGGGCUACACACGUGUUACAAUGGGGGGUACAGAAGGCAGCUACCUGGCGACAGGAUGCUAAUCCCAAAAACCUCUCUCAGUUCGGAUCGAAGUCUGCAACCCGACUUCGUGAAGCUGGAUUCGCUAGUAAUCGCGCAUCAGCCAUGGCGCGGUGAAUACGUUCCCGGGCCUUGUACACACCGCCCGUCAAGCCAUGAAAGCCGGGGGUACCUGAAGUACGUAACCGCAAGGAGCGUCCUAGGGUA